Molecule: ribosomal RNA, 310 nt
Filed under: Thermoanaerobacter sp.
Lineage: Bacteria; Bacillati; Bacillota; Clostridia; Thermoanaerobacterales; Thermoanaerobacteraceae
Description: bacterial SSU rRNA
Rfam family: Bacterial small subunit ribosomal RNA
Source: RNAcentral
UGGAUGGAGAGUUUGAUCCUGGCUCAGGACGAACGCUGGCGGCGUGCCUAACACAUGCAAGUCGAGCGGUCCGGCGAUCGACGGAAGUUGAGAGCCGGAUAGCGGCGGACGGGUGAGUAACGCGUGGGCAACCUACCCUUAAGACCGGGAUAACACCUCGAAAGGGGUGCUAAUACUGGAUAAGCUCCUUGUAGGGCAUCCUAUGGGGAGGGAAGGUAGCGGAAGCUACCGCUUAAGGAAGGGCCCGCGUCCCAUCAGCUAGUUGGUAGGGUAACGGCCUACCAAGGCGACGACGGGUAGCCGGCCUGAG